This 497-nucleotide ribosomal RNA is filed under the name uncultured bacterium. RNAcentral describes it as "partial 16S ribosomal RNA". It matches the Rfam family "Bacterial small subunit ribosomal RNA", at positions 28 to 507 of the family's 1533-position model. The record is from RNAcentral.
GAUGAACGCUGGCGGCGUGCCUAAUACAUGCAAGUCGAGCGAACAGACGAGGAGCUUGCUCCUCUGACGUUAGCGGCGGACGGGUGAGUAACACGUGGAUAACCUACCUAUAAGACUGGGAUAACUUCGGGAAACCGGAGCUAAUACCGGAUAAUAUAUUGAACCGCAUGGUUCAAUAGUGAAAGACGGUUUUGCUGUCACUUAUAGAUGGAUCCGCGCCGCAUUAGCUAGUUGGUAAGGUAACGGCUUACCAAGGCAACGAUGCGUAGCCGACCUGAGAGGGUGAUCGGCCACACUGGAACUGAGACACGGUCCAGACUCCUACGGGAGGCAGCAGUAGGGAAUCUUCCGCAAAGGGCGAAAGCAUGACGGAGCAACGCCGCGUGAGUGAUGAAGGUCUUCGGAUCGUAAAACUCUGUUAUUAGGGAAGAACAAAUGUGUAAGUAACUAUGCACGUCUUGACGGUACCUAAUCAGAAAGCCACGGCUAACUACGUG